GACGAACGCUGGCGGCGUGCUUAACACAUGCAAGUCGAACGGAAAGGCCUGCUUUCCCUUGUGGAUUGCGGGUACUCGAGUGGCGAACGGGAGAGUAACACGUGAGUGAUCUGCCCCCAACUUGGGUAUAAGCCUGGGAAACUGGGUCUAAUUCCCGAUAGGACUGCAGGGUGGUGCCUGUGGUGGAAAACGAUUUUCUAGUGGUUGGGGAUGAGCUCGCGGCCUAUCAGCUUGUUGGUGGGGUAAUGGCCUACCAAGGCGGCGACGGGUAGCCGGCCUGAGAGGGUGGACGGCCACAUUGGGACUGAGAUACGGCCCAGACUCCUACGGGAGGCAGCAGUGGGGAAUAUUGCACAAUGGGCGGAAGCCUGAUGCAGCGACGCCGCGUGGGGGAUGACGGCCUUCGGGUUGUAAACUCCUUUCGACCGCGAGGAAGCCACCUGGUUGGAAGGGUGGUGACGGUAGUGGUAGAAGAAGCACCGGCUAACUACGUG
This 494-nucleotide ribosomal RNA is filed under the name uncultured bacterium. Its description in RNAcentral is "partial 16S ribosomal RNA". It matches the Rfam family "Bacterial small subunit ribosomal RNA", at positions 28 to 507 of the family's 1533-position model. The record is from RNAcentral.